RNAcentral lists this antisense RNA (134 nucleotides) under Vibrio fluvialis. RNAcentral describes it as "Vibrio regulatory RNA of OmpA". It matches the Rfam family "Vibrio regulatory RNA of OmpA". Lineage: Bacteria; Pseudomonadati; Pseudomonadota; Gammaproteobacteria; Vibrionales; Vibrionaceae. The record is from RNAcentral.
AGUUGGCAGAGCUUUAAGAGUUUUACAGGCCGUCGAACUUUCUUCUUUCACUGACAACUGACAUUUACGCUGCUUUUUCUUAUUAACUCCUAUGUUUGUAUCAGCCCGGAUCGACUUUGUUCCGGGCUUUUUUU